Molecule: long non-coding RNA, 2169 nt
Organism: Dromaius novaehollandiae (emu)
Lineage: Eukaryota; Metazoa; Chordata; Aves; Casuariiformes; Dromaiidae
Source: Ensembl
GGGAUGUCAGGCAAAGGGCAGGGUGGGCAAAGAUGCCAUCACACUCAGGUCCCAAACUGAGGUCAGCAGCAGCUCAAAUYAAACGUGUCUUAAACUAACACGAGUCCCCUUUAGAAAAGCGGACAACUUCUACCGAGAUCAAAGCUAUCCCUGCCCACAUACAUAUUUACAGCACUUCUCCUGCUGAGGCUCCUCCAGUUGCCGACCUGCAGUAUAAAYGAGUCUCCCUAACGAUAAUUAAAGCCAUUUUAACACAAAUGGCAUCCCCACCAAGCGACUGGGUUACCUUGCAAACAGCAAACGGUCCCACCUAAYGAACUGACUCACUACACCACAAACCCGCGUUUCAGUUUAAUAAGGCUUUGCCYGACUUGUCUUUUGUUCUUCCUCCGAGCACGGAUGCGAGUUCGGAUUGUUAAGCGCGAGACAGCAAGGGCGCUACGCUUGCUCCCAGAGCUAGAGGGAGAAACGCCUGGUAUAUACGCUCAGAUUUGGAAACCUGAAGGGAUUUGAGGCAAGAGAUGUCGUUCCGGAGAGUUUUAGGCUGCACCUUGCUGAAGAUAAUCCUCCGGAGCAAGACCUACGCGUGGCAGCGAGCCCUGCAGCAACACUAGUGCGUUCAAGGCUCCGACGCAGCCCAGCUGUGACCAAAAAAAAGCCAUUUUUACACCACUGCCAGCAGAACAGCGGAUGGUAUAAAGUCACACCUCCAGCCAYGCUGGGCUGAUAAAACACCAGGCUCACAACGCUAUUAAUUUAACGCAAUGCUUGCAGGACAACGAGAAAGGAAUUACACCGGGAGAAGAGCACGAAUGAGUCGAGAGGUGAAUCCAAAGUUACCCAGAGCACCGGGAAACCCCCCUGAGACCCGGUUUGGUCCUUAAAUAGGGAAAACCUGUCGGUCUCGUUAGCAGCCGUAGCAUAACGCGAUGCGGGGCUGGAAGGGAAAGGCAGGUGCCGAAAGACGGGAGGCUCCAGGGCAGAAGCAGCCGGCGGCGGAGGGGGCUGGCGGCAGCAGGCCGUAACRGGAGGCAUUUAAUACUGGAUUCACUCCCAGCGGAUCUCACCCCAGCGAUUUUUYGCUUUUCAAAGCUUCGGCUAAUACGUCGGCUUGAUAACUAUCCCAGAUACAAAAGAGGGAAACCCAAUAAAAGAAUUUUUCUUCUGGGAAAUCCACGCCGAAGGUUCGAGCACAAGUUACCCCUCCUGUCCCUUAGGGAGAGCAGUUUCAGACACCGAAAGACCCAGCUGCAAAGCGAUACGAAUGAGGAURGCACCAAGACGCAGCAACAGGCCCUCAAAUUUCCGCUGAACGCACGGAUAAACCCGCGUCCGUCUGCCUCUCGGCCAGCCCGGCUGAAGCCUGAGUUCGAUUCCUCCUGGCUUUGCUGCGAUUUGGAGCACCUGGGCAGGAACAGCCUUUUUUUUUCCCCUGUCCUUCCUUUUGUUUCCCGCUGCCGUUAGCGUGCUCCGAGCGCCGCGUGGAUCAGUUGAUGCCACGCGGUUUUUAAGCCGAGAGGAUUUCGGUUAACGUCCUGGUGGAGCUGGGACACCUCGGAUAAUGCCACUGCUUCUGGAUCACGCCUCGGUGCCGGCCUUCUCUCCGAGAGAGCGCAUUAUGCUGAAAGCRGUGACUCGAGCACAGAGUCUGAACAAAAUUUAUCUUCGGUUACGUGUUUUGGGGUUUUUUUAGGACGGUGCCCUUCGCCCACGUGCAGGUGGCCCGGCCGAGAUUUAUGCCCCGUUGAGUCUCACUAGGGUUUACAAAACGGGCUGCGAGAGGCGUCUGAGCGCUGCCCGGGGUAUUAAGGCGUGAAAYGCUAUGGCUCGCGCUAACGGCUCUGUUUCUUUUCCCUGAGGUCGGCGUGCGGCAGGGCCGGUCCCUGAAGUCRCCGUGUUGCUGGCAGCCGCAGCGAUGCAGCCGGGAGGCAUCGGCGGUUUUUGGCUUCUUGUGCCUUUGCUUAGGACGUGUUCAGGACGCAGCAAGUUUCCUUUCAGUCGCGGCACUGAGUUUCUCAGGUAAGGCCGAGGCCAGCUGGAUUGCGGGUGCGUGUCACAUGUCACCAGUAUGUGGGUGCCCCAGGCCACACGUGUCACGUGUUGGCAGCAUGGGGGUGCCCCGGCACGUGCAUGUCCCAUGUCACCACUACAUGGGUGCCCCAGGCCACG